UUAGAGGCACUGCCUGCCCAGUGACACACGUUUAACGGCCGCGGUACCCUGACCGUGCAAAGGUAGCAUAAUCACUUGUUCUCUAAAUAGGGACUCGCAUGAAUGGCAUCACGAGGGUUUAACUGUCUCUUACUUUCAACCAGUGAAAUUGACCUGUCCGUGAAGAGACGGACAUGUAUUAAUAAGACGAGAAGACCCUGCGGAGCUUCAAUUUACUAGUACAACUAAAAAUCACACAAACCCACAGGCCCUUAAACCCCCAUACCUGUACUAAAAAUUUUGGUUGGGGUGACCUCGGAGCACAAUCAAACCUCCGAACAAUCCAUGCUAAGACUACACAAGCCAAAGCAAACUAAUACUUGCAAUUGACCCAAUAAUUUGAUCAACGGAACAAGUUACCCCAGGGAUAACAGCGCAAUUCUAUUCUAGAGUCCAUAUCAACAAUAGAGUUUACGACCUCGAUGUUGGAUCAGGACAUCCUAAUGGUGCAGCAGCUAUCAAG
This 502-nucleotide ribosomal RNA is filed under the name Chlorocebus cynosuros (malbrouck). RNAcentral describes it as "partial large subunit ribosomal RNA". It matches the Rfam family "Bacterial large subunit ribosomal RNA", at positions 1846 to 2569 of the family's 2925-position model. Lineage: Eukaryota; Metazoa; Chordata; Mammalia; Primates; Cercopithecidae. The record is from RNAcentral.